UGGGGAAUAUUGCACAAUGGGCGAAAGCCUGAUGCAGCGACGCCGCGUGAGGGAUGACGGCCUUCGGGUUGUAAACCUCUUUCAGCAGGGACGAAGCGCAAGUGACGGUACCUGCAGAAGAAGCACCGGCUAACUACGUGCCAGCAGCCGCGGUAAUACGUAGGGUGCAAGCGUUGUCCGGAAUUACUGGGCGUAAAGAGUUCGUAGGCGGUUUGUCGCGUCGUUUGUGAAAACCAGCAGCUCAACUGCUGGCUUGCAGGCGAUACGGGCAGACUUGAGUACUGCAGGGGAGACUGGAAUUCCUGGUGUAGCGGUGAAAUGCACAGAUAUCAGGAGGAACACCGGUGGCGAAGGCGGGUCUCUGGGCAGUAACUGACGCUGAGGAACGAAAGCGUGGGUAGCGAACAGG
RNAcentral lists this ribosomal RNA (409 nucleotides) under Brucella melitensis. Its description in RNAcentral is "partial 16S ribosomal RNA". It matches the Rfam family "Bacterial small subunit ribosomal RNA", at positions 355 to 776 of the family's 1533-position model. RNAcentral also lists the same sequence under 1 other name. Lineage: Bacteria; Pseudomonadati; Pseudomonadota; Alphaproteobacteria; Hyphomicrobiales; Brucellaceae. The record is from RNAcentral.